Long non-coding RNA from Pristis pectinata (smalltooth sawfish), 330 nucleotides. RefSeq lists it as uncharacterized. NCBI's taxonomy places the organism in Eukaryota, Metazoa, Chordata, Chondrichthyes, Rhinopristiformes, Pristidae. The record is from RefSeq and is a predicted model, not a curated record. The transcript is spliced from 3 exons.
CGAAAUAAAUGGCUGGGUCACCCUAAUGUGAAAGUUCCAUGACGAUGAAGAUUGCAAUGCGGCUAGCUACACACUACGAAAAUGAAGACACAGAGUCACUGGUUUCGAAAGCAGAGGUCGAAUGCCGACCGGGGCGUGGUGCGCCUUUAAUAGCCAAAAACUUCCCGUGCUACAGUUCCCACGCUGACGUCACGCGCGGAUCACCUGACCUUCCCGUGCGCGGGCUUUCCCAGCCCAACGCUGGGGAAGAAGAAGGGCCCCGCGCCAUCUCAGAUCGGGGCCUCCAAUGACGUCGCGAUGUCGGGAGCCGGUUCGAUGCCGGUGCGGUGA